RNAcentral lists this long non-coding RNA (2017 nucleotides) under Salmo salar (Atlantic salmon). Its description in RNAcentral is "lncRNA (ENSSSAG00000113049.1)". Lineage: Eukaryota; Metazoa; Chordata; Actinopteri; Salmoniformes; Salmonidae. The record is from RNAcentral.
CUAUAUAGGUUACUAUUUUUUGCAUAGGGUGCCAUUUGGGACGUACACUGACUCAUACACAAUGUAUGGCUGUAUGUGACAGAAGAUGCAUUAGUCACAUAGAAGGAUAUGGUGGAUCAUCUCAUGCUAAAGGCAAUCCGACUCCGAGGAUGUUUCCCAAAUGGCACUCUGCACACUACAUAGUGCUCUAUUUUAACCCCAUAGGGCUCCGGUAAAAAAAGCAGUGCACUACAUAGAGGGAAUAGGGUGCCAUUUUGGGAUAGAUGUCUGAUUUUAAAUUCAAGACCCGUCGUCAGACAGAUUGCACAUAAUUGACGUUAACUUUCUCUAUUGCAGAUCUCAGGACAAAAUAAUUCAAGCUGUAUUUGACUGAUGUUAUUAUGUUCAUUUCCACCAUGUAAAUGCGUACAUUUUAGACAUUAUGUUUUAAUCUUUAGACCAAUGUAAUAUACAUAUAAUUGUCAUGAGUUUAAAAGAGGCAAAUUAAAACAUAUUCUACCUUUAAGCUGACUGACGUUUACUUUCAAUUCUUCAAAUGAUGCCUUUUAAAAAUAGCAAACAUUUAGCAGAUAGUUCUACACAUCGUAUUUGAUAUAAUUGGGUCUGUCAACAAACUGAAAGAGAUUAUGGCUCUAAGAUUGUGACAGGUGACAGAGAGAAAUGAAUGAAACAUCACUUUGUUGUGAUUGGUGUGCUUAGAGCUGUGUUUUAGGGGGUUGUGUCCCAAAUGGAACCCCGUUCUCUAUAUAGGGAGUCAUUUGAGACUCAGACAUUAGUGUCACCUCAGAGAUGAAAUUGUUCAUAAUUUUAUCCUAUGAAGUUUCUCUUUCUGUCAGUUCAUUAAAAAUAUAAACCUGAGUGAAACUCUUAAUUGCAGAGUUACCCGAAUAAUUGGUUCCUCUGCUGUAGCGGUUUAUUUGUGAGACGCCAGGGCACUCUCACAAUGUCUGUGUGUGUGUGUGUGUGUGUGUGUGUGUGUGUGUGUGUGUGUGUGUGUGUUUGAUCCCAGUGGUACAGUGCUUGGCAGUGUGUUGUUGAACUGCUCUUCAGCGUCUGCCUUCCUGGUCAAAAAUGUAUCAUUAGAACAGAUGCUAUUAAAGGGCUAAGAGUUUGGAGCUAAGGGUUAGAGCUAGUGGUUAGAGCUAGUGGUUAGAGCUAGGGGUUAGAGCUAAGGCUUGGAGCUAAGGGUUGGAGCUAAGGGUUGGAGCUAAGGGUUGGAGCUAAGGGUUGGAGCUAAGGGUUGGAGCUAAGGGUUGGAGCAAAUGGUUGGAGCUAAGAGUUAGAGCUAAGGCUUGGAGCUAAGGGUUGGAGCUAAGGGUUGGAGCUAAGGGUUGGAGCUAAGGGUUGGAGCUAAGAGUUGGAGCUAGGGGUUAGAGCUAAGCCUUAGAGCUAAGCCUUAGAGCUAAGGGUUGGAGCUAAGGGUUAGAGCUAGGGGUUAGAGCUAGGGGUUAGAGCUAGGGGUUGGAGCUAGGGGUUGGAGCUAAGGGUUGGAGCUAAGGGUUGGAGCUAAGGGUUGGAGCUAAGGGUUGGAGCUAAGGGUUGGAGCUUGGAGCUAAGGGUUGGAGCUAAGGGUUGGAGCUAAGGGUUGGAGCUAAGGGUUGGAGCUACUGACUGGAGCUGAGGGUUGGAGCUAAUGGUUAGAGCUGGGGGUUAGAGAUACUGACUGGAGCUGAGGGUUGGAGCUGAGGGUUGGAGCUGAGGGUUGGAGCUAAGGGUUGGAGCUAAGGGUUGGAGCUAAGGGUUGGAGCUAAGGGUUAGAGAUAAGGGUUGGAGCUAGGGGUUGGAGAACGGCUCAAAGUAAUGUACCCACUCUUCAAAGACAAUAGACUAAAUCGGAGACGUGUAUCUCUCGUAGUCGACCAGCUGUACAGCCAUCUGUUCCGAGACACGAAGACUACUCCAUGGCUAUUCUAAAUCAAAUGGAACCUCCAACACUAUCAAUGGUAGGGAUUGUAAUUAAAACACAAAACAAGAAAAUAAUAUAAUACAACAAUUAAUCUAAGACAAAGGGGGGGGG